RNAcentral lists this ribosomal RNA (472 nucleotides) under uncultured bacterium. RNAcentral's name for it is "bacterial SSU rRNA". It matches the Rfam family "Bacterial small subunit ribosomal RNA", at positions 355 to 825 of the family's 1533-position model. The record is from RNAcentral.
UCGGGAAUUUUGGGCAAUGGGCGCAACCCUGAUCCAGCAAUGCCGCGUGAGUGAAGAAGGCCUUCGGGUUGUAAAGCUCUUUUGUCAGGGAAGAAACGGUAGUAGCGAAUAACUACUACUAAUGACGGUACCUGAAGAAUAAGCACCGGCUAACUACGUGCCAGCAGCCGCGGUAAUACGUAGGGUGCAAGCGUUAAUCGGAAUUACUGGGCGUAAAGCGUGCGCAGGCGGUUGUGUAAGUCAGAUGUGAAAUCCCCGGGCUCAACCUGGGAAUUGCAUUUGAGACUGCACGGCUAGAGUGUGUCAGAGGGGGGUAGAAUUCCACGUGUAGCAGUGAAAUGCGUAGAUAUGUGGAGGAAUACCGAUGGCGAAGGCAGCCCCCUGGGAUAACACUGACGCUCAUGCACGAAAGCGUGGGGAGCAAACAGGAUUAGAUACCCGCGUAGUCCCUGAGCGGGCUGGCAAGGCGCAU